GACGAACGCUGGCGGCGUGCCUAAUACAUGCAAGUGGGACGCAAGAGAACACACUGUGCUUGCACACCGUGUUUUCUUGAGUCGCGAACGGGUGAGUAACGCGUAGGUAACCUUCCUAUUAGCGGGGGAUAACUAUUGGAAACGAUAGCUAAUACCGCAUAAUAUUAAUUAUUGCAUGAUAAUUGAUUGAAAUAUGCAAGCGCAUCACUAGUAGAUGGACCUGCGUUGUAUUAGCUAGUUGGUAAGGUAAGAGCUUACCAAGGCGACGAUACAUAGCCGACCUGAGAGGGUGAUCGGCCACACUGGGACUGAGACACGGCCCAGACUCCUACGGGAGGCAGCAGUAGGGAAUCUUCGGCAAUGGACGAAAGUCUGACCGAGCAACGCCGCGUGAGUGAAGAAGGUUUUCGGAUCGUAAAGCUCUGUUGUAAGUCAAGAACGUGUGUGAGAGUGGAAAGUUCACACAGUGACGGAGCUACCAGAAAG
Molecule: ribosomal RNA, 486 nt
Filed under: Streptococcus mutans
Lineage: Bacteria; Bacillati; Bacillota; Bacilli; Lactobacillales; Streptococcaceae
Description: bacterial SSU rRNA
Rfam family: Bacterial small subunit ribosomal RNA
Source: RNAcentral